Molecule: non-coding RNA, 982 nt
Organism: Phascolarctos cinereus (koala)
Lineage: Eukaryota; Metazoa; Chordata; Mammalia; Diprotodontia; Phascolarctidae
Source: RefSeq, a predicted model, not a curated record
UGGAAGGCUCUACUGCAGGUCGGGCACAAAAAGUCCAUUCCCAAUAUGUGAAAAAAUGGCAGAGCCCAGAAGGGUAGACACACAGGAAAAAGGAUGUAGAAGAUGGGAUCUUGAGGAGCAGCAGUAGUCUUUUCUGGACCAUUAAUUAAUUCAGGUGCACAGAUGCCUUGCCCUGGCUCUGGGUGAAAGAUCCACUGAGAGAGAAAGGAAACGAGGCCUAUUUUGUGUAACAUUUCUUAACCUUCAGAAAUUGAUGUCAUGAAUAACAACCACAUUCUCUUUACUUUUGGCUGCAGUGAGUAGUGAGCAGGGCUUCAACAGGACCUUUCCACCGUGGCUCCAAGGACUGUUUUUGGUGAUGACCUUUCCAGUAGACCCAGUCACUGGAUUGGAUUUCUCAGUGCAUCUCUUUCUCAUCUCUUAAUUUUUGAGAUCAUCCCAUCAUAGUCAAGUCACACCUGUGUCCCUCUAUGCAUGUAUACUCCUAACUGCCUUAAUAAUGAUAAAGUUCUUAGGAGUGAUAAGUAUCAUCUUCUCACAUAGGCAGGGAGGACUGAGUGCUCACAUAGAUGAAAUCACAAAUCUAUGAUUACUGAAAGAAGGACAUCCAAGCGCUUUGACUGGUCUUUUUCAUUGCUUACAAUAUACAGGGAUAUGAUUUCUUCCCCGAGGAUUGCUUAAGCGGCAUCUCAGAAAUUUUGAUGCAUCCAAAACUGAGUGCAAGACACUGAAGCCUCCAGCCACUACUGUAUCACUAUCUAUGUCUUCUUGUAGUUCAGGGCAGGCCUGCAGAUCACUGCUGAAUCUCAUUACAGCAAACUAAAGAUACGUGCUACUGCUUUUUUGUGAAUCUGGAGCUGAAAAACAGAUUUGAAUGAGAAGAACAAGUGAAUGCAUUUGGGGAAAUAUGCCAAAAACACAACAAAAGAAUAAGAAAAAAGGUAUUAAGGGACUUUUCUGAUAACUAAGAUUAAAGAUUAAA